Molecule: ribosomal RNA, 423 nt
Filed under: uncultured bacterium
Lineage: Bacteria
Description: partial 16S ribosomal RNA
Rfam family: Bacterial small subunit ribosomal RNA
Source: RNAcentral
AAUCUUCCGCAAUGGACGAAAGUCUGACGGAGCAACGCCGCGUGAGUGAUGAAGGUUUUCGGAUCGUCAAACUCUGUUGUUAGGGAAAAACAAGUAUCGGAGUAACUGCCGUUCCCUUUACGGUCCCUAACCAGAAAUCAACGGCUAACUCCUGCCCAGCAGCCGCGGUAAUACGUAGGUGGCAAGCGUUGUCCGGAAUUAUUGGGCGUAAAGCGCGCGCAGGCGGUCUUUUAAGUCUGAUGUGAGAGCCCCCGGCUCAACCGGGGAGGGUCAUUGGAAACUGGGAGACUUGAGUGCAGAAGAGAAGAGUGGAAUUCCACGUGUAGCGGUGAAAUGCGUAGAGAUGUGGAGGAACACCAGUGGCGAAGGCGACUCUUUGGUCUGUAACUGACGCUGAGGCGCGAAAGCGUGGGGAGCAAACAG